This 189-nucleotide ribosomal RNA is filed under the name Bacteroides fragilis. RNAcentral's name for it is "partial 16S ribosomal RNA". It matches the Rfam family "Bacterial small subunit ribosomal RNA", at positions 1 to 180 of the family's 1533-position model. The record is from RNAcentral. Lineage: Bacteria; Pseudomonadati; Bacteroidota; Bacteroidia; Bacteroidales; Bacteroidaceae.
ACAAUGAAGAGUUUGAUCCUGGCUCAGGAUGAACGCUAGCUACAGGCUUAACACAUGCAAGUCGAGGGGCAUCGGGAAGAAAGCUUGCUUUCUUUGCCGGCGACCGGCGCACGGGUGAGUAACACGUAUCCAACCUGCCCUUUACUCGGGGAUAGCCUUUCGAAAGAAAGAUUAAUACCCGAUAGCAUA